RNAcentral lists this ribosomal RNA (355 nucleotides) under uncultured bacterium. Its description in RNAcentral is "bacterial SSU rRNA". It matches the Rfam family "Bacterial small subunit ribosomal RNA", at positions 8 to 353 of the family's 1533-position model. The record is from RNAcentral.
AGAGUUUGAUCAUGGCUCAGGAUGAACGCUAGCUACAGGCUUAACACAUGCAAGUCGAGGGGAAACGACAUCGAAAGCUUGCUUUUGAUGGGUGUCGACCGGCGCACGGGUGAGUAACGCGUAUCCAACCUGCCCACCACUUGGGGAUAACCUUGCGAAAGUAAGACUAAUACCCAAUGACGUCUCUAGAAGACAUCUGAAAGAGAUUAAAGAUUUAUCGGUGAUGGAUGGGGAUGCGUCUGAUUAGCUUGUUGGCGGGGUAACGGCCCACCAAGGCGACGAUCAGUAGGGGUUCUGAGAGGAAGGCCCCCCACAUUGGAACUGAGACACGGUCCAAACUCCUACGGGAGCAGCA